RNAcentral lists this ribosomal RNA (2557 nucleotides) under Escherichia coli. Its description in RNAcentral is "partial 23S ribosomal RNA". It matches the Rfam family "Bacterial large subunit ribosomal RNA", at positions 398 to 2925 of the family's 2925-position model. Lineage: Bacteria; Pseudomonadati; Pseudomonadota; Gammaproteobacteria; Enterobacterales; Enterobacteriaceae. The record is from RNAcentral.
UGUGAGCUCGAUGAGUAGGGCGGGACACGUGGUAUCCUGUCUGAAUAUGGGGGGACCAUCCUCCAAGGCUAAAUACUCCUGACUGACCGAUAGUGAACCAGUACCGUGAGGGAAAGGCGAAAAGAACCCCGGCGAGGGGAGUGAAAAAGAACCUGAAACCGUGUACGUACAAGCAGUGGGAGCCUCUUAAUGGGGUGACUGCGUACCUUUUGUAUAAUGGGUCAGCGACUUAUAUUCUGUAGCAAGGUUAACCGAAUAGGGGAGCCGAAGGGAAACCGAGUCUUAACUGGGCGUUAAGUUGCAGGGUAUAGACCCGAAACCCGGUGAUCUAGCCAUGGGCAGGUUGAAGGUUGGGUAACACUAACUGGAGGACCGAACCGACUAAUGUUGAAAAAUUAGCGGAUGACUUGUGGCUGGGGGUGAAAGGCCAAUCAAACCGGGAGAUAGCUGGUUCUCCCCGAAAGCUAUUUAGGUAGCGCCUCGUGAAUUCAUCUCCGGGGGUAGAGCACUGUUUCGGCAAGGGGGUCAUCCCGACUUACCAACCCGAUGCAAACUGCGAAUACCGGAGAAUGUUAUCACGGGAGACACACGGCGGGUGCUAACGUCCGUCGUGAAGAGGGAAACAACCCAGACCGCCAGCUAAGGUCCCAAAGUCAUGGUUAAGUGGGAAACGAUGUGGGAAGGCCCAGACAGCCAGGAUGUUGGCUUAGAAGCAGCCAUCAUUUAAAGAAAGCGUAAUAGCUCACUGGUCGAGUCGGCCUGCGCGGAAGAUGUAACGGGGCUAAACCAUGCACCGAAGCUGCGGCAGCGACACUAAGUGUUGUUGGGUAGGGGAGCGUUCUGUAAGCCUGUGAAGGUGUACUGUGAGGUAUGCUGGAGGUAUCAGAAGUGCGAAUGCUGACAUAAGUAACGAUAAAGCGGGUGAAAAGCCCGCUCGCCGGAAGACCAAGGGUUCCUGUCCAACGUUAAUCGGGGCAGGGUGAGUCGACCCCUAAGGCGAGGCCGAAAGGCGUAGUCGAUGGGAAACAGGUUAAUAUUCCUGUACUUGGUGUUACUGCGAAGGGGGGACGGAGAAGGCUAUGUUGGCCGGGCGACGGUUGUCCCGGUUUAAGCGUGUAGGCUGGUUUUCCAGGCAAAUCCGGAAAAUCAAGGCUGAGGCGUGAUGACGAGGCACUACGGUGCUGAAGCAACAAAUGCCCUGCUUCCAGGAAAAGCCUCUAAGCAUCAGGUAACAUCAAAUCGUACCCCAAACCGACACAGGUGGUCAGGUAGAGAAUACCAAGGCGCUUGAGAGAACUCGGGUGAAGGAACUAGGCAAAAUGGUGCCGUAACUUCGGGAGAAGGCACGCUGAUAUGUAGGUGAAGUCCCUCGCGGAUGGAGCUGAAAUCAGUCGAAGAUACCAGCUGGCUGCAACUGUUUAUUAAAAACACAGCACUGUGCAAACACGAAAGUGGACGUAUACGGUGUGACGCCUGCCCGGUGCCGGAAGGUUAAUUGAUGGGGUCAGCGCAAGCGAAGCUCUUGAUCGAAGCCCCGGUAAACGGCGGCCGUAACUAUAACGGUCCUAAGGUAGCGAAAUUCCUUGUCGGGUAAGUUCCGACCUGCACGAAUGGCGUAAUGAUGGCCAGGCUGUCUCCACCCGAGACUCAGUGAAAUUGAACUCGCUGUGAAGAUGCAGUGUACCCGCGGCAAGACGGAAAGACCCCGUGAACCUUUACUAUAGCUUGACACUGAACAUUGAGCCUUGAUGUGUAGGAUAGGUGGGAGGCUUUGAAGUGUGGACGCCAGUCUGCAUGGAGCCGGCCUUGAAAUACCACCCUUUAAUGUUUGAUGUUCUAACGUUGGCCCCUGAUCGGGGUUGCGGACAGUGUCUGGUGGGUAGUUUGACUGGGGCGGUCUCCUCCUAAAGAGUAACGGAGGAGCACGAAGGUUGGCUAAUCCUGGUCGGACAUCAGGAGGUUAGUGCAAUGGCAUAAGCCAGCUUGACUGCGAGCGUGACGGCGCGAGCAGGUGCGAAAGCAGGUCAUAGUGAUCCGGUGGUUCUGAAUGGAAGGGCCAUCGCUCAACGGAUAAAAGGUACUCCGGGGAUAACAGGCUGAUACCGCCCAAGAGUUCAUAUCGACGGCGGUGUUUGGCACCUCGAUGUCGGCUCAUCACAUCCUGGGGCUGAAGUAGGUCCCAAGGGUAUGGCUGUUCGCCAUUUAAAGUGGUACGCGAGCUGGGUUUAGAACGUCGUGAGACAGUUCGGUCCCUAUCUGCCGUGGGCGCUGGAGAACUGAGGGGGGCUGCUCCUAGUACGAGAGGACCGGAGUGGACGCAUCACUGGUGUUCGGGUUGUCAUGCCAAUGGCACUGCCCGGUAGCUAAAUGCGGAAGAGAUAAGUGCUGAAAGCAUCUAAGCACGAAACUUGCCCCGAGAUGAGUUCUCCCUGACCCUUUAAGGGUCCUGAAGGAACGUUGAAGACGACGACGUUGAUAGGCCGGGUGUGUAAGCGCAGCGAUGCGUUGAGCUAACCGGUACUAAUGAACCGUGAGGCUUAACCUUACAACGCCGAAG